Molecule: ribosomal RNA, 467 nt
Filed under: uncultured bacterium
Lineage: Bacteria
Description: partial 16S ribosomal RNA
Rfam family: Bacterial small subunit ribosomal RNA
Source: RNAcentral
GACGAACGCUGGCGGCGUGCUUAACACAUGCAAGUCGAACGGAAAGGCCCUGCUUUUGUGGGGUGCUCGAGUGGCGAACGGGUGAGUAACACGUGAGUAACCUGCCCUUGACUUUGGGAUAACUUCAGGAAACUGGGGCUAAUACCGGAUAGGAGCUCCUGCUGCAUGGUGGGGGUUGGAAAGUUUCGGCGGUUGGGGAUGGACUCGCGGCUUAUCAGCUUGUUGGUGGGGUAGUGGCUUACCAAGGCUUUGACGGGUAGCCGGCCUGAGAGGGUGACCGGCCACAUUGGGACGGAGAUACGGCCCAGACCCCUACGGGGGGGAGGAGGGGGGAAUAUGGCACAAGGGGCGGAAGCCUGAUGCAGCAACGCCGGGGGCGGGAUGACGGCCUUGGGGUUGUAAACCGCUUUCGCCUGGGACGAAGGGGGGGUGGGGGGAAUGGGUAAAGGAGCACCGGCUAAUUAAGU